RNAcentral lists this ribosomal RNA (468 nucleotides) under uncultured bacterium. RNAcentral's name for it is "partial 16S ribosomal RNA". It matches the Rfam family "Bacterial small subunit ribosomal RNA", at positions 28 to 507 of the family's 1533-position model. The record is from RNAcentral.
GACGAACGCUGGCGGCGUGCUUAACACAUGCAAGUCGAACGGAAAGGCCCUGCUUUUGUGGGGUGCUCGAGUGGCGAACGGGUGAGUAACACGUGAGUAACCUGCCCUUGACUUUGGGAUAACUUCAGGAAACUGGGGCUAAUACCGGAUAGGAGCUCCUGCUGCAUGGUGGGGGAUGGAAAGUUUCGGCGGUUGGGGAUGGACUCGCGGCUUAUCAGCUUGUUGGUGGGGUAGUGGCUUACCAAGGCUUUGACGGGUAGCCGGCCUGAGAGGGUGACCGGCCACAUUGGGACUGAGAUACGGCCCAGACUCCUACGGGAGGCAGCAGUGGGGAAUAGUGCACAAUGGGCGGAAGCCUGAUGCAGCAACGCCGCGUGCGGGAUGACGGCCUUCGGGUUGUAAAACGCUUUCGCCUGUGACGAAGCGUGAGUGACGGUAAUGGGUAAAGAAGCACCGGCUAACUACGUG